Hypanus sabinus (Atlantic stingray) is the source of this 4759-nucleotide long non-coding RNA. RefSeq lists it as uncharacterized. The record is from RefSeq and is a predicted model, not a curated record. Lineage: Eukaryota; Metazoa; Chordata; Chondrichthyes; Myliobatiformes; Dasyatidae. The transcript has 4 exons.
UUUCUAAAAUUGACUCCUUCUACCUUAGGCCAUGAACAUCAAUCACCCCUCGUAAAACAAAGUAAACAAGUAACACACAGAACGUGAGCUGCAGAGACCCCGAGAGCAAGUCCGCGGCUGCGCUCAAUUCAGUACUGAGGCGAGGGAAGCCGGGCCAGGAGCCUGCAGUGCAGCAACCCCUGACUACUGCGCCUCCACGAUGGUAGUAUGAGAAGAGAGUGAGACAAGACAAACACAGGCAGACCACGCUAAACAUUCUCCACUCUCACGCCUCGAUGCUUUAAUCUGUGUGGAGUAAUAGAGUCAGCGUGAGUUCAUUUUCCGCCUCCAGCCAUGGUCAUAACUGCACUCAACUGAAGUGGACUUGCAAUCAUUGUGGACUGUCAGUGUGGGUAAUUACUGCCUUCUGGUGUUGUUUACUACAGUGGGAAGAACACCUCGCACAACACCCUUAGUUCAAAAGCCAUGAGUUACAGAGGAGAUCAGUCCCAGGAGGAAUGACCUGAAGACCCAAUCCCACUGCCAAAAGAACUCAAGGUCCUCGAGUGUCUGAUCAAGCAAUAGAGUGGAAGUUGUCCUUGAGAAUGGUGGAGCGUGCUUUCAGGCAGUUGUAUCUUCUGCCCGAUAGGAAGGAGAGGAGGGAGAAAGUCUGGGGUUCUUUUGAAGACCCUGUCCUGGAAUUACAGGCUGACUUCAGUUCUUUGCAGGAAUAGAACCAGCUCACAGGACUUCAUGACCAGCCAUUAUUCGACAUGCCAAUGAUGAGGCCUAAGAGUUCAGCUUGCUUUUGGAGGACCAGGAUCUCACGGCUCUGGAGACAGGUGAAUCGAAGGUCGGUGUCCCGGCAGGAAGUUGAUGUAUCGUGGGAGCCGAAAGAUCUCUGGCUACAUGACCAGAGACCCGAGAUCUUUGGGCACAGAGCUCGGAAAAAGUGACACAAUGGACUUUUAACAUCAUAAAGCAAUGAGUUGUUUGUUAUGUCUCCCCUCUCGCUGUGAAACGCAGACAUUUCUUUUUCCUUUAUUCAGCCAAGGAUGUUCACUUAGCCCACUACUCUACUCUCUAUACAUCCAUGCCCGUGUGGCUAGGCUUGGCUGAAAUGCCAUCUGUAAAUUUGCUGAUGACAUGGCUAUAGCUGGCAGAAUUUCAGAUGGUGACAAGAAGGUACACAGCAGCAUGAUACAUCAAUUGGUUGAGCAACACCUUAUACUCAACAUCAGUAAAAACAAAAAACUGAUUGCGGGCUUCAAAAUUCAAGGGAACACGUGCUAGUUUUCAAACAGGGAUCAGAAGUGGAAGGAGUGAGCAAUUUCAAGUUCCUGGGUGUCAGUAUCUCCGAGGAUCUGUCCUGGACCUAACAUAUUGAUGCAGUUUCAAAGAAGGCACGACAGCAGCUAUAUUUCAUCAGGAACUGGAAGAGAUUUGGUAUGUCAGCAAAGACACUCACAAAUAUUACAGAUGUAUCAAGAAGUGUGUAAUAACUGGCUGCAUCAGCAUCUGGUAUUAGGGGCGGGGUGUGUCUCUGCACAGGAUCGAAAAAAGCUGCAGAAAGUUGUGAAUUCAUUCAGCUCCAUCAUGCAUACUAUCUAGCAUCCUGGACAUCUUCAAGGAGCAAUGCCUCAAAAAAGCGGCAUCCCUCUUAUCAUCCAGGACCUGCACCUUCUCGUUGCUACCAUGCAUUAGGGAGAAGUUACAGGAGCCUGAAGGCACACACUCAAUAAUGCAAUUGCAGCUUCUUCCCCUCUGCCAUCAGAUUUCUGAAGGGACAAUGAGCCCAUGAACUCUACCUCAAAAUGAAGUUAGUCCAUUUCAGCUUAUGGAAUUGCCCAAACAUUGUCAGUUCAGUGAUGGGCUUAAUAAUGCGCUGAGAGAUCAUUUAGGCUGAAGAAUCUUACAAGAACGCAUUUUGAAAAAUGGCUCCUAAUUGAAGCACAACUCACAUUUAAAAGAGCAGUUGAAAUCACAGCAUCAAUGGAAACAGCAGCCAGAGACACAAAUGAGUUAGGAAAGAAAGUGAGCAUGUACAGAAUUGCAAAGUCUGAGCAGAAACAUGCCUGGCUGAACAAAUUGUGCUACUAUUGCAUCAGAAGCUCACAUACACCAUGCCAAUGCAGAUUUAAAGACGAAACUAAAAACAAAUGCAUCAUAGUAGGACACAUACAAAGAGUAGAUAAAAAUAAAUGAAAAGAGAAGGGAAGAAGAUAAAGUCAAGUUGCAGUUUUUAAAAGAGAACUAAUAUGUAUGCUGUUGAUGAAAACACUGAAAAUGAUGAGAGUGAUGCGGGACUGAGUAGACUUGAGAUUUACAGUGUAAAAACAAUAGACACACAAUAUUGCUUGCAUCAGAAUUGGACACCGGUUUAACUGUUUCAGUCAUUCCACAAAAUGAGUUUGAAUGGCAUCUCAAGGAUACUGAACCUAAGCCUGAAGAUUUUCAACUAACAACUUACACUGGAGAAAAGGUAACUCCUGUGGGAAUGACAUUGAUAACAGUGAAAUAUCCAACACAACACACAAGGCUUGUGCAUAGUGAAAACAAGGGAGUCAGCAUUGUGUGGCCAUGAUUGGCUGAGAUAACUGCAACUCGAUUGGAGAUCCAUCCACUAUUUGCAUGCCACAUCCCCUGCAAUAAAGUCAACUGAAAGCAAAUUAAGAAAGGUACUGGAUGAUGCUACAGCAGUGUUCAAGGAUAGCAUUGGAAAACUCAAACAUAUCGAGGGUAAAUAGUGUUUAAUGAAAAUGCCAUACUCAGGUUUUACAAAGCCCAUCUUGUUCCUCAUAUCAUACAUCAUAACAAAGCAGGGAUCUACUGCAGAUCACAUGGAGGUUGAAAGAAUUACUUCCAUGGAUGAGUGGACUACAUGGGCAACAUCAAUGGUCCCAGUAGCCAAGAAAGAUCAGUCAGGAUCUGUGGUGAUUUUAAGGUCACCAUCAACCCAGUACUGAAAGUAGAUCAAUACCCUCAGCCUCGGACAAAGGAUAUCUUCUCAAGCCUUUCUGGAGAGAAAAGGUUCACCAGAGUGGCCUUAGCUGAGGCCUAACUACAGAUGGAGAUGGAAAAAGAAUCCAAAAUGUUUCUCACCAUAAACACUCAAAGGGUGUCAUUGACUUAAUAGGCUUAUUUUUGGCAUAGCAUCUGGCAGAAAGCUAUGGACUACGUGCUGCAAGGUUGCCCAGGCACACAGUGUUACCUGGAAGACAUCAUUGUUAUCAGUAAGGAUGACAAGGAACACCUCGAGAAUCUCAAUACAGUGUUAAAAAGAUUAGAAAAUUAUGGCUCAGAGCAUGACACAAGAGUGAAUUCUUUAAAACAAGUAUCACUUACUGUGGUCUCACAAUUGAUGCACAAGAACUACACAAGUGUGCUGAGAAAAUUCAAGAUUGACAGAGAAGCCCUUGAUUCUGGUUUGGGGGGUGUAAGAUGUUUCAACCUGUCUCUGAAUGUGAGAAAAACAAAAGAGAUGGUUGUUAACUUCAGGAGGACACGGAGCGACCACUCCCCACUGAACAUUGACGGCUCCUCGGUAGAGAUCGUAAAGAGCACCAAAUUUUUUGGUGUUCACCUGACGGAGAAUCUCACCUGGUCCCUCAACACCAGCUCCAUAGCAAAGAAAGCCCAACAGCGUCUCUACUUUUUGCGAAGGCUGAGAAAAAUCCCACCCUCCAUCCUCACCAUAUUCUACAGAGGAUGUAUUGAGAGCAUCCUGAGCAGCUGCAUCACUGCCUGGUUCAGGAAUUGCACCGUCUCAGAUCGCAAAACCCUGUAGCGGAUAGUGAGGUCAGCUGAGAAGAUCAUCGGAGUCUCUCUUCCCACUAUUACAGACAUUUACAUCACAUGCUGCACCCACAAAGCUAACAGCAUUGUGAAGGAACCCACACACCACUCACACAAACUCUUCUCCGUCCUGCCAUCUGGCAAAAGGUACCAAAGCACUUGGGUUCUCACAACCAGACUGUGAAACAGUUUCUUCCCCCAAGCCAUCAGACUCCUCAAUACCCAGAGUCUAGACUGACAUCUACAUCAUUUAUUAUUAUAUUGUAAUUUAUCCUCUACUGUGCCUAUUGUCUUAUUAAUUGUUGUACUGCCCUGCACUGUUUUGUGUACUUUAUGUAGUCCCGUGCAGGUCUGUAGUCUAGUGCAGUUUUUAUGGUGUUUUAUGUAGUCUAGGGUAGCCUUGUGCUCUCUCACAUAGUCUAGUUUUGUGUUUCAUGUAGCACCAGGGUCCUGGAGGAACGUUGUUUCAUUUUUACUGUGUACUGUACCAGCAGUUUAUGGUCGAAAUGACAAUAAACUUGACUUGACUUGGAAUCACAGGCAGCAGAGGUGCUAGUACAGAUCCCUGCAGAACAUCACUAGUCACAGACCUCCAGCAUUUUGAGUGUGUUGCUUGGCCUCCCUGCAUCUGCAGGUUUUCUCUUGUUCCUUUCACUAACAAAACAUUUUCACCCACAGUACUGCCGCUCAUGAUGUUUUUAGUUUUUUGCACCAUUCUCUAUAAACUCCAGAGAACGUUGAGUGUGAAAAUCCCAGGAGAUCAGCAGUUUCUGAAAUACUCAAACCAGCAACCAUUCCAUGGUCAAAGUCACUUAGAUCAGAUUUCUUCUCCAUUCUGAUGUCUGGUCCGAACAACAACUGAACCGCUAGACCAUGUCUGUCUCCAUGCCUUUAUGCAUUAAGUUGCUGCUAUACAAUUGGCUGAUUAAGUUUUUCAAGUCAAGUCAAGUUUAUUGUCAUUUCGACCAUAACUGCUGGUACAGUA